GCCCGUCUGUUGUGUGACUC
RNAcentral lists this unclassified non-coding RNA (20 nucleotides) under synthetic construct. The record is from RNAcentral.